This 1308-nucleotide ribosomal RNA is filed under the name Trachelomonas sydneyensis. RNAcentral's name for it is "SSU rRNA". It matches the Rfam family "Bacterial small subunit ribosomal RNA", at positions 84 to 1442 of the family's 1533-position model. The record is from RNAcentral. Lineage: Eukaryota; Euglenozoa; Euglenophyceae; Euglenales; Euglenaceae.
AGUGUUUUGACGUGGCGGACGGGCGAGUAAUUUGUAAGAAUCUGCGUUUGGGUGGGGGAUAACUUACGGAAACGUCUGAUAAUACCCCAUAAAGCUGUUUAAGUUAAAGAUUUAUCGCCCAAACAUGAGCUUGCAUCUGAUUAGUUUGUUGGUGGGGUAAUUGCUUACCAAGGCGAUGAUCAGUAGUUGAUUUGAGAGGAUGAUCAACCGCACCGGGACUGAGAAACGGAACGGACUUCUACGGAAGGCAGCAGUGGGGAAUUUUGCACAAUGGGCGCAAUGCCUGAUGCAGCAAUGCCGCGUGGAGGAUGAAGGUUUUGCAAUUGUAAACUCCUUUUCUCAUUGAAGAAUAGUUGACGGUAUUUGAGGAAUAAGCAUCGGCUAAUUCCGUGCCAGCAGCCGCGGUAAUACGGGAGAUGCAAGCGUUAUCCGGAAUUAUUGGGCGUAAAGAGUGCGUAGGUUGUUAAGUGUGUUCUAUAUUAAACUUUGCAGCUUAACUUCAAAAUGGUAUGGAAAACUACUUAACUAGAGUGUGUUAGAGGUAAAGGGAAUUUCCAGUGUAGCGGUGAAAUGUGUAGAUAUUGGAAAGAACACCGGUGGCGAAGGCGCUUUACUAGGUCACAACUGACACUGAGGUACGAAAGCUAAGGUAAUGAUCAGGAUUAGAUACCCUAGUAGUCUUAGCUGUAAACGAUGGAUACUAAAUGGUGUUUUAAGCACUGUUAAAGCUAACGCGUUAAGUAUCCCGCCUGGGGAGUACGCUUGCAAAAGUGAAACUCAAAGGAAUUGACGGGGACCUGCACAAUUGGUGGAGCGUGCGGUUUAAUUCGAUGGUACCCGAAGAAUCUUACCAGAGUUUGACAUAUUAAGUUGCUUUUGAAAGAAAGUUUUCCUUUUAGGGCUUAAAUACAGGUGGUGCAUGGUUGUCGUCAGUUCGUGUAGUGAUAUAUUUAGUUAAGUCUAGCAACGAACGCAACCCUUGUUUUUAGUUGUUUUUUUAAUAUCUAAAAAGACUGCCGGUUAUAAAUCGGAGGAAGGAGAGGAUGAGGUCAAAUCAUCAUGCCCCUUAUACUCUGGGCUACACGCGCGCUACAAUGGAUAAGACAAUGGGUUGCCACUUUGCGAAAAGGAGCUAAUCCCGUAAACUUGUCCUAAGUUCAGAUUGAAGGCUGAAACUCGCCUUCAUGAAGCUGGAAUCAAUAGUAAUCGCCAAUCAGAUAUGUGGCGGUGAAUACGUUCUCAGGUCUUGUACACACCGCCCGUCACACUAUGGAAGCCGGCAAUGCUUGACAAUAUAUUUCUAACGUU